UACGGAGGGUGCAAGCGUUAUCCGGAUUCACUGGGUUUAAAGGGUGCGUAGGCGGAUUGGUAAGUCCGUGGUGAAAUCCCCGAGCUUAACUUGGGAACUGCCGUGGAUACUAUCAGUCUUGAAUAUCGUGGAGGUAAGCGGAAUAUGUCAUGUAGCGGUGAAAUGCUUAGAUAUGACAUAGAACACCAAUUGCGAAGGCAGCUCGCUGGGACGUAACUGACGCUGAGACGCGAAAGCGUGGGGAGCAAACAGG
This 253-nucleotide ribosomal RNA is filed under the name uncultured bacterium. RNAcentral describes it as "partial 16S ribosomal RNA". It matches the Rfam family "Bacterial small subunit ribosomal RNA", at positions 524 to 776 of the family's 1533-position model. The record is from RNAcentral.